RNAcentral lists this ribosomal RNA (253 nucleotides) under uncultured prokaryote. RNAcentral's name for it is "partial 16S ribosomal RNA". It matches the Rfam family "Bacterial small subunit ribosomal RNA", at positions 524 to 776 of the family's 1533-position model. The record is from RNAcentral.
GACGAACCGUGCGAACGUUGUUCGGAUUCACUGGGCUUAAAGGGCGCGUAGGCGGCUUGCCAAGUCAGGGGUGAAAUCUUUCGGCUCAACCGGAAAAGUGCUUCUGAUACUGGCGGGCUGGAGGAGGGUAGGGGCAGGUGGAACUUCCGGUGGAGCGGUGAAAUGCGUAGAUAUCGGAAGGAACGCCGGUGGCGAAAGCGACCUGCUGGACCCUUUCUGACGCUGAGGCGCGAAAGCCAGGGGAGCGAACGGG